GAGGAAAAGAAACCAACAGGGAUUGCCUCAGUAACGGCGAGUGAAGCGGCAAAAGCUCAAAUUUGAAAUCUAGCACCUUCGGUGUUCGAGUUGUAAUUUGAAGAUGGUAACCUUGGGUUUGGCUCUUGUCUAUGUUCCUUGGAACAGGACGUCAUAGAGGGUGAGAAUCCCGUCUGAUGAGAUGCCCAUUCCUAUGUAAGGUGCUAUCGAAGAGUCGAGUUGUUUGGGAAUGCAGCUCUAAGUGGGUGGUAAAUUCCAUCUAAAGCUAAAUAUUGGCGAGAGACCGAUAGCGAACAAGUACAGUGAUGGAAAGAUGAAAAGAACUUUGAAAAGAGAGUGAAAAAGUACGUGAAAUUGUUGAAAGGGAAGGGCAUUAGAUCAGACUUGGUGUUUUACGAUUAUCUUCUCUUCUUGAGUUGUGCACUCGUAUUUCACUGGGCCAGCAUCGAUUCGGAUGGCAAGAUAAUGGCAGUUGAAUGUGGCUUCACUUCGGUGGAGUGUUAUAGCUUCUGCUGAUAUUGCCUGUCUGGAUCGAGGGCUGCGUCUUUUGACUAGGAUGCUGGCGUAAUGAUCUAAUGCCGCCCGUCUUGA
RNAcentral lists this ribosomal RNA (591 nucleotides) under Hansenula anomala. RNAcentral describes it as "eukaryotic LSU rRNA". It matches the Rfam family "Eukaryotic large subunit ribosomal RNA", at positions 53 to 657 of the family's 3401-position model. Lineage: Eukaryota; Fungi; Ascomycota; Saccharomycetes; Phaffomycetales; Wickerhamomycetaceae. The record is from RNAcentral. RNAcentral also lists the same sequence under 1 other name.